Molecule: non-coding RNA, 789 nt
Filed under: Geoscapheus robustus
Lineage: Eukaryota; Metazoa; Arthropoda; Insecta; Blattodea; Blaberidae
Description: 12S ribosomal RNA
Rfam family: Microsporidia small subunit ribosomal RNA (bases 377-782)
Source: RNAcentral
UAAAAAUUUUAUUCUGAUUUAAUUACUUAUUUUAAUUUGAUGUUAUAUGUGAAAUUUUAUAUUUUAAUAAUUUCUUAAUGAAUUAAUUAAAUUAUUUUAUGCAGUAAUGAAUAUUAAAUAAUAAAGGGAAUUUUGAUUUAGUUAUUUUUGUUAGUUUUGAUUAAAUAUGUGCCAGCAGUCGCGGUUAUACAUAGGAUGCAAAUAAGUAUUUUUAGUUAUGCAGUUUAUUAUUUAUUAAUAUUUAAUUUGAUUAUUUUUAGGUAAAAUUUAAAUUUUUGUUUUAGUUUUAUAUUUAUUUUAAAAUGAGGCUGUGAAAUCUAAAAUAUCUAAACUAGGAUUAGAUACCCUAUUAUUUUAGACUUAAAGAUUUAAACUUGAGUAGUAUUAGAUAUGAUCUUGAAACUUAAAGAAUUUGGCGGUAUUUUAGUCUAGUUAGAGGAAUCUGUCCCAUUAUCGAUAAUCCACGUUGAACCUUACUUAAUAUAAUUUAAUAUGUAUACCGCUGUUUAUUUGAAGAUCUUUUUAGGGAUAAUUUUCUUUAAAUUUUAAUUAAUUUUAUUUCAAGUCAAGGUGCAGUUUAUAAUUAAGUGGUGAUGGAUUACAUUAUUUAUAAAAUAAAUGGAUUAGAGUAUGAAAAUAUUUUAUGAAGGAGGAUUUAAUAGUAAUUAAUAAUAAGAAUAUUUUUGUGAUUUUAGCUCUGAAAUGUGUACACAUCGCCCGUCACUCUCGUUAUUAAGAUGAGAUAAGUCGUAACAAAGUAGGUGUACCGGAAGGUGUAGCUAGAUUGAU